RNAcentral lists this ribosomal RNA (468 nucleotides) under uncultured bacterium. RNAcentral describes it as "partial 16S ribosomal RNA". It matches the Rfam family "Bacterial small subunit ribosomal RNA", at positions 28 to 507 of the family's 1533-position model. The record is from RNAcentral.
GACGAACGCUGGCGGCGUGCUUAACACAUGCAAGUCGAACGGAAAGGCCCUGCUUUUGUGGGGUGCUCGAGUGGCGAACGGGUGAGUAACACGUGAGUAACCUGCCCUUGACUUUGGGAUAACUUCAGGAAACUGGGGCUAAUACCGGAUAGGAGCUCCUGCUGCAUGGUGGGGGUUGGAAAGUUUCGGCGGUUGGGGAUGGACUCGCGGCUUAUCAGCUUGUUGGUGGGGUAGUGGCUUACCAAGGCUUUGACGGGUAGCCGGCCUGAGAGGGUGACCGGCCACAUUGGGACUGAGGUACGGACCAGACUCCUACGGGAGGCAGCAGUGGGGAAUAUUGCACAAUGGGCGGAAGCCUGAUGCAGCAACGCCGCGUGCGGGAUGACGGCCUUCGGGUUGUAAACCGCUUUCGCCUGUGACGAAGCGUGAGUGACGGUAAUGGGUGAAGAAGCACCGGCUAACUACGUG